GAUGAACGCUGGCGGCGUGCCUAAUACAUGCCAGUCGAGCGAACAGACGAGGAGCUUGCUCCUCUGACGUUAGCGGCGGACGGGUAAGUAACACGUGGAUAACCUACCUAUAAGACUGGGAUAACUUCGGGAAACCGGAGCUAAUACCGGAUAAUAUAUUGAACCGCAUGGUUCAAUAGUGAAAGACGGUUUUGCUGUCACUUAUAGAUGGAUCCGCGCCGCAUUAGCUAGUUGGUAAGGUAACGGCUUACCAAGGCGACGAUGCGUAGCCGACCUGAGAGGGUGAUCGGCCACACUGGAACUGAGACACGGUCCAGACUCCUACGGGAGGCAGCAGUAGGGAAUCUUCCGCAAUGGGCGAAAGCCUGACGGAGCAACGCCGCGUGAGUGAUGAAGGUCUUCGGAUCGUAAAACUCUGUUAUUAGGGAAGAACAAAUGUGUAAGUAACUAUGCACGUCUUGACGGUACCUAAUCAGAAAGCCACGGCUAACUACGU
RNAcentral lists this ribosomal RNA (496 nucleotides) under uncultured bacterium. RNAcentral describes it as "partial 16S ribosomal RNA". It matches the Rfam family "Bacterial small subunit ribosomal RNA", at positions 28 to 506 of the family's 1533-position model. The record is from RNAcentral.